Molecule: ribosomal RNA, 497 nt
Filed under: uncultured bacterium
Lineage: Bacteria
Description: partial 16S ribosomal RNA
Rfam family: Bacterial small subunit ribosomal RNA
Source: RNAcentral
GAUGAACGCUGGCGGCGUGCCUAAUACAUGCAAGUCGAGCGAACAGAUGAGGAGCUUGCUCCUCUGACGUUAGCGGCGGACGGGUGAGUAACACGUGGAUAACCUACCUAUAAGACUGGGAUAACUUCGGGAAACCGGAGCUAAUACCGGAGAAUAUAUUGAACCGCAUGGUUCAAUAGUGAAAGACGGUUUUGCUGUCACUUAUAGAUGGAUCCGCGCCGCAUUAGCUAGUUGGUAAGGUAACGGCUUACCAAGGCAACGAUGCGUAGCCGACCUGAGAGGGUGAUCGGCCACACUGGAACUGAGACACGGUCCAGACUCCUACGGGAGGCCGCAGUAGGGAAUCUUCCGCAAUGGGCGAAAGCCUGACGGAGCAACGCCGCGUGAGUGAUGAAGGUCUUCGGAUCGUAAAACUCUGUUAUUAGGGAAGAACAAAUGUGUAAGUAACUAUGCACGUCUUGACGGUACCUAAUCAGAAAGCCCCGGCUAACUACGUG